RNAcentral lists this ribosomal RNA (678 nucleotides) under Bacillus sp. FJAT-4554. RNAcentral describes it as "bacterial SSU rRNA". It matches the Rfam family "Bacterial small subunit ribosomal RNA", at positions 55 to 717 of the family's 1533-position model. The record is from RNAcentral. Lineage: Bacteria; Bacillati; Bacillota; Bacilli; Caryophanales; Bacillaceae.
CUGCAGUCGAGCGAAUCGAUGGGAGCUUGCUCCCUGAGAUUAGCGGCGGACGGGUGAGUAACACGUGGGCAACCUGCCUAUAAGACUGGGAUAACUUCGGGAAACCGGAGCUAAUACCGGAUACGUUCUUUUCUCGCAUGAGAGAAGAUGGAAAGACGGUUUACGCUGUCACUUAUAGAUGGGCCCGCGGCGCAUUAGCUAGUUGGUGAGGUAAUGGCUCACCAAGGCGACGAUGCGUAGCCGACCUGAGAGGGUGAUCGGCCACACUGGGACUGAGACACGGCCCAGACUCCUACGGGAGGCAGCAGUAGGGAAUCUUCCGCAAUGGACGAAAGUCUGACGGAGCAACGCCGCGUGAACGAAGAAGGCCUUCGGGUCGUAAAGUUCUGUUGUUAGGGAAGAACAAGUACCAGAGUAACUGCUGGUACCUUGACGGUACCUAACCAGAAAGCCACGGCUAACUACGUGCCAGCAGCCGCGGUAAUACGUAGGUGGCAAGCGUUGUCCGGAAUUAUUGGGCGUAAAGCGCGCGCAGGUGGUUCCUUAAGUCUGAUGUGAAAGCCCACGGCUCAACCGUGGAGGGUCAUUGGAAACUGGGGAACUUGAGUGCAGAAGAGGAAAGUGGAAUUCCAAGUGUAGCGGUGAAAUGCGUAGAGAUUUGGAGGAACACCAGUGGCG